GAUUUGUUUCUCUUAGUUUUCUUUUAUUUAUAAAGAUUUAAGUUUCUUUCUGUCUCAGUGAGUCACUGUUUUGGGGGGAAGGUGUCAAAAAAAAGUAUUCAGGUCCAGUCUCACCUUCUCAGCAACUUUUCAUUUGAUCCUGAAGUUGCUGACAUUUGCCAACAAAAAUCCAUCUAUGGAAGAACCUCAACAUGGAGCAUGGCAUCAAUGAUGGAGAGGAUUAAAGUCAGCAGAUAUGGAUCCAGACACGGAGUCUGUGAAGCUGCAAAAAUGGCAGACUGGAAGACUCGGAUGGAUUUCAUCAAUCUGAAUCUGAAUCUCAACAGUGCUUUUGACAUUCUGGUUCUGUGGGACAGCAAAACUGUUCCUCUGUGACAGAGCUGGAAACAGCUUCAGCAGCCUCAAAGAUGUUGUUCCUCGUCUCCUUAUUGAGAGCACUCCCCACCCAUGCAGUGAGCUCUGCCAUGGGGAGACUUCCUUCAAGGCUGCUGCCAGAACUCCACAAGUCUAUAUGGUCCACAUGGCUCAGCUCAUCUGUGGUGCCAUGAGUGACUUUAGAAAAGCCAAUUAUACCAGGGUAAACUGCUGAGUGGAUUUUAAGGCCUAGAGUUGGUGUAGGCAAGAAUGCACAGGACUGAAAAAAUCAUUUUUCCCUCAUUGAUCCACAUUCAUUGAUUCAUUGUUUAGAAAACUGGGGGGAAAAAUAACACUUAGUGUUCCUAAAACUUUUCACCUUAUUUUACUGAAUAUUCAUCUUUGUCUGCAAUUUAUCAUUUUAACCACUAAUGUCUGAAAAAAAAGAGUGUAAUCUCACAGACCUGUUUGUAGGAUUGGGUGGCAGGUUCUCCAUUUCUUUAUACCAGUGAUGUCAAAGUGAUGCUGCAAGAGGUCGUUUAUAAAUUUGUAAUCAGCUGUGUAAGAUGGUAGCCUGGUAUCAUCUGCAUAUUAACUCACCUCCACAUUUACUGUGGGAAAUGGCCACUGAUGUGUGAGUGGGUUUGUUUCACAACUGCUGUGAGCCAGUGGCUGUGAUUGGGCUGGGUUCACUGAAGGCAGGUGUAUUUGAUUGCACUCUAGUCUAGUCUACUUAUACUCCAGACUACAAGUACUGCUGUUAGUGAUGGCCAAAUGAAGCUUUCUGAAGUGUUGAAGCUUGUAUUGGCCAAAAGUAUGAAGAGCAGCUCGAAUCUACAACUUUGAAAUGAACUGCUUCAUUAUCAUUGCCCAGUCACAGCUUCUGUUUAACAUCAUGUGAUAAUUCUGUCUGAUAUCAGGCUAACGUUGUGGUGCUUUGAACCUGUAUUUUUCUCUGUGUGACACAAUUUUGUCUGUUUCAUGAAUAAAUGUGAUGAAUAAAUUUGUUUAAACAUGAA
Molecule: non-coding RNA, 1373 nt
Organism: Maylandia zebra (zebra mbuna)
Lineage: Eukaryota; Metazoa; Chordata; Actinopteri; Cichliformes; Cichlidae
Source: RefSeq, a predicted model, not a curated record